Non-coding RNA from Meleagris gallopavo (turkey), 1835 nucleotides. The record is from RefSeq and is a predicted model, not a curated record. Lineage: Eukaryota; Metazoa; Chordata; Aves; Galliformes; Phasianidae.
ACACUAAGAGCACAAGCUGAGAAGCCAAAGAUAUGACUUCCUUCAGUCAGAUCAACUUCAAAGUAUAACAAACAAAAUGGGACAAACUCUAUGGGCAUUAAAAAAAAAAAACAAAACUUAGAUAUCAAUUCCAGAACAAGAUUUGUUUAAUAAUAUGUAUGCAACAGUUUCUCAUGAGAAACACAAAGUUAACUUUCUCUGUAUAAUGAUUCAUGAGUAAAUUUGGGUUUGUUGGCAGACUUGCAUUGAAGAAAGUAACUUGCACCAAAUGAGAAAAGGAUAUUUUAAGAAUGUUUGCAAGUUGUCUGUUGUACCAGAACCCAGAGCAGUUUCUGCUAGGAUGUUAUUUUUAAACUGUUGCAUUUGUAACAUACAGGCCAUAUGACUCAUCAAAACUUAAAAGAAAAUAAAAUCUUGUUUCUGUGUUCACUUUAAAGAUAUUGGUCUAACUUGGCAAGCAGAAGUUAUCUGAAAGCACCAGAAGGACAGCAUUGUUUCAAGACUAUGCAAAUCAAGUGUGGGAAAGUUGCACCUUAAGUAAAUAAGAGCACUAGUGCAUGUCUGGGCAGUGAGUGGGAGGACAGAAUGGACUUCAAAGCACAGCAGCAGAAUUCUACAUUCAUCAGAGCCUACUGACAAGAUUUCAUCCCAGCUAUUAACCUCUCAGCACUCCAAGCCUGGCUCACAAUGAUCCUGCCUACUUGUCUACAGUUUUGAGAACCAAAGCGCUUGCUCCACAGCCACAGAAGAGUGUCUAUAUAUGAAGUCCAGCCUUUGACACGAUGCUGCAGCCACAGCUGAGCAUGUGUGGAAUUGCCUACUGCAUGUUGAAGAGAGAAGACACUGAACUAGCAUAGCAGCAACCAAAAGAAAAGAAAAAAAAAAAAAAACAACAAAAAAGAACCACCACUCUCAAGAACUGCUUCAAAAGAAUUUUACUUUGAGAAAAGUAGUCUUGAUUUCCCUGCCCCCAAUCAUCCUGAAAGCAAGAAGUGUUGCUAAGAUUACUGUGCUCUGCCUUGACAGCACAAUCUCUAGGGACUUUGCUUUUCAGCACCCCCUUUGAAAGCUUUGUCUGCAUGAGGGCCAUCGCAGCUCCCACAAGUAUCAGGUAACUGAGGGAAGAACUGAUGGAUGUGGGAAAGGGGGUGGGCUAAGAGAGAUGCAUUGUAAAACAAAGGCUAAAAUCGAGCUAUUUGGAAGAGCAGGGAAAGGGAAGACGCACUAUCCACCCCGUGUCACAUUUACAGACAGACUAACCUGCCAAUGAGCUCUCUAGCACUCCAGUAAUAAUAAUCAUCAGCAUAAACUAAUCAAGAGUGACUCCAUGGGUUGGACAGAUGCCAGCUAUUUCAUCUGAGCCACCUUAUCUUCAAUCCUAACUUGAGAACAAGAGCCAUUAAGAUGUAUUCCCUUCCCCCUCCCUACUCUGGGAUAUUAUUAACUUAGCUGUAUCUUCCAAAAUUGCCAGGCACAGCUAAACUUAGAGAAGGAUUCAAGAAAGCAUUCAAAAUGAAAAAAAGCCAAAGAAAAAUAAAAAAAAAAACCCAACACCCUCUGAUUUGAUAAGUACAUUAAGAACUACAAAUGAAGUAAUAAACGUAACAUCUUUCUGGUGAGAACAAUUACAGAACAAAUAUAAACUCUCUCCAUGAAGAGCUUUGAUACUUUGCCAUAGAAGCUGUGUACCGUAAGGUUUAUUUCUUCUUAAUUAUAUAUGCACUCAGUAGCGGCCUGCAGCCCUUAACAUCUUUUCUGUACCAGAAACCAAAAUAAAGUUGAGAAUAAGCUGCUACAAGGUGCAGCUUUAAGGCAGACCUCGAAUUCCUUGAGAA